CCUUACAGAAGCAGGUUCUGCCAGGCUGGGCGUAAUCCAAGACACAAUUGACCUGAUUGGACAACACUUAUGAGUUUCAGGGAAGCAGGCUGGGAUAACUACAAGGCAACUCUCAAUUGUCUUUGAAAGUUGUUCAUGAUUUGGGGAGAUUCCUGGGGACUGGAAGAGAGCAGACAUCACUCCUAUCUUCAAGAAUGUGAUGGGUCCAGUGCUGCACUGUCCAGUACAAGAAGAAUGUGGAUUUAUUGGAGCAAUUUCAUCGAUGAGCCACAAAGAUGUUCUAGGGACUGAAGCAGCAUUCAUGAGAGGACCUCUGGGAGAGGUGGGACUGUUCAGCUUGUAGAAGAAAAUGUUCAGGAGGGUCUUAUCAAUGCGUAAAAAAUGCGUGAAGGGAGGAUGCAAAUAAGAUGGAGCCAGGUUUUCUCAGUGGUACCCAGACAGGACAAGAGGCAACAGGGACAAAAUGAAACACAGGAGGUCCCCUCCUGAACAUCAGGAGACACUUCUUUACCUUGUGGCUGACUGAGCACUGGCACAGGCUGGCCAGAGUUUCCAUCCUUGGAGAUACACAAAACCCAUCUGGAUACAGCUCUGAGCAACCUGCUGUAGGUGACCCGGCUCUGAAUAGUGGGGACGAACUGGACAGUCUCCAGAGGGGCUAUCUCACCUCAGCCAUUUUGUGGUAACUGUGAUCUCUACUUAGUUUACCAGAACAAAGUGACUGGAGCAUUCUGAAGUUUCUUAGACUAUAAGCCUACUUAAUUUAACUAAUUAAUUUUUCUUUUGUUAAAAUUUUCAUGAAGAAGCUAUUAGAUUAGUCUGAUUUUAUUUCUGGCUCUUACUCAGAACUUUGUGAUCCCAUUAGCAGUCAGUUUUUAUGAGGAUGAAAUGUUUUCAAGUGCAGGAUUGAAUAUUUCCAGUGGAAUAUUUUAUGGCAGCUUUUGGUUAGGCAGUCAGAUUCUGUCAGUGGAUAUGCUGAAAGCAAUGAUAAGGAGGAAACCUAGACCCUUGAGUGACUUCACAUACCCUUAAAAUAUGUACCAAUAACAUGAAUAAAGACUUUCAUUAAAUUAAUAUAAAGACUUGUUUAUAGGUAUGUUUUAAGACUGUUUGACACAAAUCAUACUUUUUCAAGAAAAAGAAAAAGAAAAAAAACACAUCAGCAUGCAGAUUUCUCAUUUGCAUAGCAUUAAAAUUUCCAGAGUUGAUAAACUGUAUGCUAUCUGAAUGAUUUUAAGACUGUGAAUGACUUCUCAUUUGGACUUUAUAUUCCUUCCCAAAUUAAUUCUGAGCCUAGUAUUAAAUCCUAUCCCAUAUUAAAUUAAAAAUAAAAUACAGUUUGCCCAACAUAGGAACAUUAAAGGGCCAUUCCAAUGUACUUCUUGGUGUCAGUUGUCACGCGCUCUUGCAGGAAGAGUAGGAAUACAGUUCCAGAUGGCUAUUCACUACUGCUCAAAAGAACAGAGGUCAAGUGCUAAGAGUUCAUAUAGCAGACAGUAUUUUCUAGCAUGUUCAAAGUGGAAAUUGUAUUUUAAAGUAAUUUCAGGACAUCAUUUUUAACACUGCAGUAUAGCAAUAUAUAAAAGCAUAAGCUGUAAGUAUUCUGGACUCAUUUCUCAGCCACUAAAAUGUUAUUUGCUUCCAUUACCUUAAAUUGAAAUAAGCCAGUGGCACUGUCCAUAAAGUAUCUCUCUGUUGUGAGAACAAGUCAUGAAGUGGCAUAGGUACUGAAGAAAAUAAAGGAUGAAUACACUGAGGAGAAGAAACAACAUAUAAGGUUGAAGAAACAAAGUAUGAGGGUGACGCAGACCUUUAAACAAUAUUUUCGUGGUCUAAGCAAUAAUAUACUUCUGUGCAAAAGAUUCCAAGUGAUGCCUGAUUCUAGCUAUUUCUCCUUUCAACAUUUUCUUCUCACAUCUAUAUCACCAGCCCUGAACUCUACUCUUUUUUGAAAAACUCUGCAAUUUUUAGCAACUAAAACAAGUUUUAUGUCAGACUUCUCCAACACCUCAUGGCAACAGUGUGCAUAGGCAAAAAGUCUUUCACUUACAGUCAGUGAUGUUUGAUUUAAUGUGUUAUGGGCAAAGCACUGAUGCAUUAGGGCAUCAGAUCCAUCCCAAAUGAUCUUCCCACUGCAGCUUUUAAACACAUCUCAUGAUUGGACCCUCCAACUUGAAAUUUUUUAGCAUUUCCUUUCAGAUAAGACCCCAAGCUCAUUCUUUCUCACCUGCAGUGGAGGAGUUUCCAAUCAACAAGGGUCUGAAGCCGAACAUGGAAAAGAAAGCAGUAGACCAACUAGCUCCUGCCCCUCUCUCACCUCUCCUCAAAUCUGGGCAAAGGUGUGGGGUCUUCUUCCUCCUCUCCCCAUCACGUGCAUACUGUUCUCCUACCAUGGUGCUUUCUCAAAAAUGCAGUGCAAGCAGCACAAGCAGUUCCCCUUUGCUCCAGCCAGUCAAUGACCACCAAUGUCCCUUCUGACCCAUCACCGCUCUGCCACUCCAUUCCCACAAACACAGCCCAACUGUGCCUUUUUUCUAUGGCUAUAGCCCCACUACCAGGGAUCUUGGAAGUCAGCUCCUACAUCACUUCUCUCCUACUUAUAUGGGCAUUGUGUGUGUUUUCUACAUUUGAGUUGCCUGCAGUUUCUGUGGAGCUGUAAAUUCUCCUCAUUUUCAGUAUGAACAUAAAGGUAACUGCAACAGUGGGGUGAUUAAAGUCUUUAAUGUAUGCCUGUUUAUAUUGUAGUUACAGCUUAAUCUAAUGAAUUCAAUUUUAUUAAAGGUUUUCCCAAUAUAGUGUUUUAAAACAGAAGAGAUUAAAGUAAGUUUAUAUUCAAAUAUUGCUCAUUUCAGUUCUCGUAAAAAUUCUGAGAACAGACUAUGCGUUGAGAAUAAAGAAAUUAAAAGACACUUAAAGGACUAUCAUUGGUUAAAUGCUAUUAAUUUAAAAGUGGAACAACUUUUUUUUUUUUUUAAUUUAGAUAUAAAACCUUGAGGGAAGUCUGUUUACAAGUCUUGCCAAUUUUUAAAUUGUUUUAACAGAUAUUCAGUUAAAAUUCUGUUUUCUUUGCAUCAUAACUCAAUUGAUAUGUGGGAAAUAAUGUAUAUUUCAUUUAAAAAAUGGACUCAAUUUUUUUUUUUUUUGUAGCUCUUGUCACACUUAAAGCAUUGUACAAAUAUUUCCUUUUAGUCUUUACUCUGCAUGACAAAGAUAUGAUAUCACUAAAAAAAAAUCAGAAUGGGACAAUGACAUCACUUGCCAAAGGAGACAUGGCAAUUACUCAUAAGCCACAAUUAAAACCGAGAGUUUUCAGACACCUGUCUCAUAAGCAGUUCACAAUGAAUUUGCUAUUUUGUCUACCACGUAAAAUAAGCUCUGUUAAUUGUUAUUCUAGUAGAGAAAGCAAUGAUGUUUGUUUACUGUGUUUUGAUAGACCACUUGAAAGUGGCAGUGAGAAUCUAAAAGAAACAUUAUAACAAACUUAUUGCAUAAUUCAUUAUUUGUAUUCUAAUAUCUCUGUCCCACCACCCAUCUGCCAUCAUUGAUAAUUGCUAAAUGGGAAACCACUGCUGUACUUUGUGGUGAAACCUGCUCAAGCACUCCUGACGUUGUGGCUGGUGCUGGUUCUGGCACUGAGCUGGUUCACCCUGCAGCCUUGGCCUUGGCAAACAAAAUAAACUGUAUGCCGAACUACGUAGUUAACAAUAAAGUUGUAUGUACAGAAUGGAGGUUUGUUUCUUGGAAGCAGUGACGUCAGAAUGUUUCAUGGUUUUGAGCAGAAACCUGACUCAUUCUGAAUUCCUAUUACCAUGAGUUGGCAGAUUGAGACAUUGGCUGUAUUGUUGUGGGAGUCCAGGCUGGGAGUAGGAAUAUAGCAUGCUUUAUAGCAUUGCUAUAACCAAUUUAAGAAAAUAUAUCUUGAGAUGGUAGUCAAAAAUGAUGUGCAAAAAUUGGGAAUGAUGAAGAAAAUGGAUGCAAAGAUCAGGAAUGAAAAUAACACCAUCCUUUGAAAAACCUUUGUGCGCAGUCAGUCUUUUUUAUCCCUUGCACCGGAACAGUGCUUAAGAGUCUCAGUUUUCAGUUUACAAAUAAAUAAACAAUAUGUUGUGGUGAUAGCCUUGAAAACAUAAAUCAAUUGUAAACUGAUCUAGUGAUGCUUUCCAGACCUUAAAGGCAUCAUGGGGUGAUUGCUGAGGAAUGUGAAGUGCCCUACACAUAUUAAUGAACUGUUAAUUCAAACCUAAAAAUGACAGCCUGUGGCACAUUGGAUACUGAAGCAGCCCAGGCAGUAUGAAAUAAAUACAAUAUCAGACACGCUAUAUAAAUCAUGCUGUGCACAACAGUAUACAUUGUUGUAUUUCAUCAGAUGAAAUAAUCCUUAAAAAUAAAUAUUUACUGCCAUAAAAUUUCUGCUGCAGUUUCACAAAAUGUAAGGAGCUUGACUCAGAUCAUGCUUCUAAGGCAGAUAAAUCUGGGCUGCAGUAAGUGAGCGAAUCUUCCAUCAAAGCUGCCCUAACUUUAGCAACAUCAUAAAGAGUGACAAGCUGCAGAAUGAGCCUGUCAGAAGACGAGUGUAUUUAUUAAAACAUGUAAUUUAACCCUGAAUUUAGAUGCUGCAUAAGACUGGUGUAGUUUGAAUUCAGUGGGGCAGAAGUGCCUGUAAGAGAAAAACCAUGAUGAGGGUGGCUAAUUAAAGUUCUAAGAGAACAGAUUUUGACUUACACUAUCCCAUAAUUUGCUUUUCCUUUAAUGACUCCCCUCUGUCUCCUAUACAUGUAAAUUACACUGUCUGAACAUCCGCUGAAUGUCAAUUUGUCUAUUUUUUGUUGUUGUUGUUACUUCCAUUCUCUUUCAUCCAUUUUCUUAUCCUCAAAGCCAUUGGAAAACUUGUUGAUAUUCAUUUUUCUGUUACAGGAUGUUGUUUGGUCCAAUACAUAUUGAUCAAAAAUCUGAUAUUAAAUCAGGCAGUAGUAAUUUCUAUUGGCAUUUUAUACUUAAAACACAUUAAAAGAUGUAUCAUAUUAUACUUUUAAAAUUCUUGAUAUUAGCUUCGAAAAGAAAAUUUAUCAGGGCCUAAAUAAAAUAAAUAAGACAACUGAACUGUCCUGAUUGGUUUUUCUUUUUUAUGUUUUUAUCACUAUUUUCUCACCCCAAACUUGAAAAGAAAACAAUUCAUAAUCUGAAUUUUUCAUUGUAUAUUUAAGUUUGAUAAAUGUGGGACAUCUCUCCACAACUGUGCAUGCAUCUACGGUAAGCUGCCUGGUAAACAUUCCAUAGCUGUGACUGUGUGUUUGCUUAUAAGUUUACAAAAGCCUUAUUUUUCCCUAUUACAUGAAGAAAGGGUGUGAGAAGUCAAGAUAAAAAGUUAUCUGCAAUCAGGGUUAAUCACUUUCUUGUUGAAACUGAAGCAGGAUUUGAAUUUCUUCCUAAAAUAUUCUUGUUCUGAAAGAUUCUGUAGCUUUCCAAGUAUUUCUUAGAUUUGAUGUGAAUAAUUUUAGAUAAACACUCCUAGCUAAAUACGUACUGAAAGGACUAUAAAAUGAAUGGAUUUUAUCGUUGCUAGAGAAGGACUGAGGGUGACCUAUUUUGUAUCUUAUCUAUCCUUCACCCAAAGGCCUGUGAAUCUGCCCUCGUCCUGACCUCUCAGUAGUUGGCUGGGGCAAUAAUUCCAGGAACUUAUUUAUAUGGUUUAGAAGCUAAGGCUUAUAGUAAGAAUUUUUCAGCAUAUUAUCUUGAACCUAAAGCAAUUUUUUUUUUUUUUUUUUGCCUGGGUUUUUAAGAUCUGAAAGAUACUACUCGCCCUGUUUUAGUGGAUGACAGUCUAAGUCUACUUGUCUGCAUAUCUCCUCUAAGAGCCAAAAUAUCACAGUUAGAGGAGGAACUCAAUUUAUAUGAAUGUCCUGUAGUCUCCUACUUGCUCUGCACCUACCUCCUGGAGGAGAAUAGGGGAUGUAGUCAGAUUAUAGGGAUAAGGGAAAUACAGUAGGAUAGUUUCAGUUUUUAAUGUAUUUUUUCUUUAUGACUUCUGCUCUUUGGAAAAAGAGGAUUGUCUUAGCUUCAAAUGGCCUUUCAAAUUGUCUUUGAACAAAAGAGUACGCAUCUGAUAAAGUUAUUAUAUCUUUGUAUCUACUAUGAGCUGGGAGUGCUCCAUCAUGUCUUAGGUAAAGCUGGGUACAUUGUAUUGGCUUCCUGCAAUGGAAAAAAAAAAACAGUGUUUUUGCAUCUAAUCUGUAGAAAGGUGCAUCAAAAGGGCUGGACUGAAAAACAGGACUAAGUGCAAUAGUGUGAAAAAUUGUCUCUGGCUGGAAGGAGAACAGUAGAAGAACAAGUCAUUCAGGAGGAGUUCAACCUUUCUUUUAUGUGAGUUAAGCAACAAAUAUUUUCAAAUGCAAAGCAGAUAAAACAGAAUCUUUUUGCACGUAUCCUUAGCCAUAAAUGUUAAACCGAGAAGGCUAAAACAGCCUAAGCAACACUGUUUUCUGGAAGUUUGUGUUUGGGUGACUUGGCUGCUUCAUUUUUCAGUGUAAAAGGUAAGGAUGCAAGCAAAUGUAAUGCAUUAUGGCAAUCUAUAGUGCAUCUCUAUCUACCUCUAACUUCAUUUCCCUAUUCACUGCACGUUUACGGUGUGCCUUCUAGAGAGCUGAAGUGGAAACCAGACAACUCUCAGGUUUGAUAGUAAUAAUAGGAAAGGGCAAAUUUGUAUUGCAGUGAAAGAAUGAUAAAAAACAGUGAGGUGAUAAGAACAAGAUUGGAAGGCGAAGUGUCUCUGGAGAGGAAACUCAAUGGAAGAACCUGAGCAGCACAGAGGCCUGAAGUGAGCCUGAAGCAGUGCUUGGGCUCUCUUGAAGCUCUUAAGGAUUACAGUUUUGAGGUGAUGCUGUAGCUGCCCUUCCUGACAGUAACCUGGUAACCAGUGGCAAGGAGUGCUCAGCAGAGGGUCUCACGAAGGCAUUCUCAGUGUCUGAAAAAAGUGCACAUAUGUAACUAAUGUGAACUACUUCCAAAAUUGACAGUGUAUGUAUCCUUAAAUCUUUAUUUUCUAUGCCUUUCAUAAAUACACUGUGAAAAGUUUGCCGUGUUUUUUUUCCUGAUUAGGGGUGGCGUUUGCAACUUUUAAAACUACCGUCUUCUCACGGGAAAUUCUGAGAACAUUUUGUGUAGAAAUAAUUCCGUUUCUAGUGCAUAUAUGUUUUUUUAUCGCUUUUCCCUAUUGAUUACUAGACAUAUUUGCAUUAAAAUGCACACAUAGGAACCUAUCUGCGACUGCUGCUUUUUCCUGACUUGAAAUCAAAAUCCCAGAGGAAAAAUAUGUACUCCUAAGCAACAGAAAUUUUCAUAUGAGUUUUUUUUUUUUUUUUUUAAUAAAAACACUAAGAGAAAAAAAAACCCUGAAAAUAUUGCUUUUGGAAAAGACUUUUUACUAAUGGCUUCCAUAAGUUCUUAAUAUAAUAAACAUGCUUUUAAAGCUCUCUCCUAAUUUAGUUGCAACUGAUGCAGUUUAAUGCAGAAAAAUUGAUAGCCUGUCCCACAUUAGUAUUGCUGUGUUCUGUUCUGGAAGUCUUGCUCUACUUGCCAAGAUGCUCUUGAAAUUAAAUUUUUCUACUACAUUUAAAGCUGGUCAAAAGAAUUAUUUCAAAAAACUGCCCAUGCUGUGUACAUAAAUGGAGCUAUGUUUCAUGAAUAUUUCCCAUGAUGUAUCUUUAGUAUUCUCCUGUAACCCAUAAAAGAAUGCCAUUAAAUUGAUGUACAAUCAUUUUCUUGUUUGAUUGUCCUCUAUUUAUUUUGCUUUUGUUUCUUUAAUAAUCACCAGCAAAACAGGAAACUCCUAACUAUCCAAGGAUUGUCAGAUCUUUUUGCCUUGUCCUCCUCACCAGGUCUGUUUGUUUGUUUUUCUAACCCUAAACUGCAACAUUCUUCUUUGUGGUCCUGGGCACAAAAGGAGGUGAAAAAACUCCAUCCUGAAGGCACCUAAGGUUUUAAAAAGAGGGUUAGACAAUGUAUUAUUUCAUUUACCUUACAUUUUACACAUGCAGAGAUGAGUUUAAGAAGCUGUUCCUCUUCCUCUACUCAAGCUUUUAUAUGAUUUCUCUGUCAGUCCAUCCUCAGGGCUGUCUCCCAGGCACAAUUAGAGGACAAAGUGCAAAUGCUGCCUUCUGACAGUGUGCGUGAUGGGGGAAUAAGCACUGGGUUGGCACAAGAUCUCCGGUGAACUUCUAUUGAUUAGAAAUGAAAGCUGAAUCACUGUAAUACUCAGUAAAUAUCACUGACGCUGAGACUACUGAGUUGUAAUCUCAGCAGAUAUCUCAGAUGUCUUGGAAAAAAGCAAGAGGAGUGAUAAUUACAAUUAAGCCCUUUUUGAGUUUAUUUCUAGAAAUAUGAAGUAAGAGCUAUUGGAAAUAAUCUAGCUGCUAAUGUCAGGUGACAUCUUAAGCUGAUAAUCAGAGUGAUAGGAAUACGGAAUGUCAGUAAUUUUCUCUAAGUUAUUUAUACAAUUAUUCAGCCUGCCCACCAAUGUGUAGCUAAUGAAACUAGUCUAUGUCAGCCUCUUGAACUGCUAAAAAUGGCCAUUGUGCCAUCCACUUUUCCUCCUAAAUUCUAUGACUUCCCGUGGAUACUUCUGUGUGUACCUCAGCUGUUAACAGUAACUGAGGCUGAAACUGUCACCUUGCAAAGAGGCACCUGUACACCAGAACGUGGAAAAGUAUUGAAGUUGUCUUCUAAUUAGUACCUCUGAUGCAACUGCUCUAAAGCUGUCUUAUGACAACUAAAUUAAAUUUUCUAUUUCUGAGGACAAUAUUCUAGUACUCCUAACACUUGGGAACUCUACUGGUACUCUUCUUUCCGAUGAAUUCUAACAGGAACAUUGAUUCUUUUAGUUCUGCUUACUAUCAAAUUAUCCAGACAGAUUUAAUAUGAUUAUUCAUUCUACCUUAAUCAAAGUGUACUUACAUUUUUCAGUUGGAUAUAGUGAUAAGGAAAUCUUAAUCUGAUGAAUCUCUCUAAGAGUACAGUAUGUUAUCUUUGUCCAUUCAGGUGAGUAAUAAUAGGCAUUUCUGUACCUCAAUCUUCAGUUUAUGGCCAAUUGUCACUAUCUAUAGAUAAUAUGAACUCAUAUUAUUUUUAUCGAAACAGAAUUUCCACAUUUUAAGUUUGGUAGCUUAGAAAACUCAUUAGCAAUUUCACAAAUUUAUCCAAAAUUUUAUGAACAAGAAGUAGACUAUGUAGUUCUCACCAUUAGGCAAAUAUCUGGUAACCUUGAUGUGCAUCUUGUGCUCUACUACCAGUAAAAACAUAAAACCUACAGUGCAGAUUUUUUUCAAAAGCUCUUACAAAAUUUCUAUCGCACACAGACGUCCACUACAGCUGCACAAGGAAGAUGUCCACAAGAGAUCUUUUCCAUAAAAGUUUUGUUCACAGCUCACAAGUUCGCCCUACACUAGCCGCAGGGCUCAUUUUGCCAGAAUGUAAUCAUUUAAAGUGGUCUUUAAUCACUGUAAGCACUAAUCUAAAUUAAGAAGUUGAGAUUUACAAAGAUACUUUUCUCUCUUCAUGACAUAAAUACAUAAUCCUUUGAUGGUUAAUAUCAGAUGGGAAAGAACAUAUGAUUUCUGCCAUUAAAUGUGAUUUGGAGAGUUUUUUGUCAAAUGAUAUCAUCUAUUUUGUAGUCGUAGGAGGAUCUCUCAUUCUUUGUGCAUUACAAUUAAGAGAACAUAAUAAAAUAUUAAUUCUCUGAUAGCAUAACAAUAUGCAAGAUUCAAAGUCAAAUCAGAAGUACACACUACUGACUUUGUUGAUUUCUGGUACAAUCUGAGUGCUAAUACAGUGCAGUAUAAGUCCACUAAACAUGAUAAACGGCAAAGUUAUGAAAGCAAGUCUAGGUUGUGUUUGUUAAUCAAUACAGCAUAGAAUCAGAAUUAUCCACACUUCUUAUGUGGUAGGCAAAAAAUGAUCUAAUUUCUAAAUUAUGAGGAAAAAAGCAAAAACAAAAACAAAGCAGAAAUAAAAGUUGCCAGAUCAAACUUGAA
Molecule: long non-coding RNA, 10025 nt
Organism: Gallus gallus (chicken)
Lineage: Eukaryota; Metazoa; Chordata; Aves; Galliformes; Phasianidae
Exons: 3
Source: RefSeq, a predicted model, not a curated record